This is a long non-coding RNA of Rhea pennata, 237 nucleotides long. RefSeq lists it as uncharacterized. NCBI's taxonomy places the organism in Eukaryota, Metazoa, Chordata, Aves, Rheiformes, Rheidae. The record is from RefSeq and is a predicted model, not a curated record. The transcript has 3 exons.
CUGUCUCUGUCCUGGGUGCCCUGCAUCCCCUCCGGCCACAGCACUACCCGGUGAGCUAGAGCUCAGAGGAAGCCUCAGUUCCCAGUUCUACAUAAUAUGUAAACGUUGACUAAAGCACUCCCAUAGAUGGAGGAGAGGGAGUGAAUGAGGCCCCUGCUGCGCAGAAUGGAAUGGGAAGCGAAACAGAAGAAGUGAUGUAGAUGUGCCACCUACCCAGCAUCACUACAAUUGCAGCAG